AUCUAGAGUUUCCAGGGUGACAGUGAACGCAGCAAGAUUAUCCACCGGUGCUGAUUCAUCAGAAAGUCGCCCAUCAUCUGAUAAGACUCAAUAAGAUUUCGAGGGUAACUAUAUAUUUUUUUUUAAUUUAUAUUAAAUGGAUGUUCUGUUUACUUUUUGAAGUCGUUUUCUGUCUACAGUUUGAGUUAGUUUAUAGGUCUUAAACCGCCCCUCCUCCCUCUGUGAUUCACUUGUUAAACAGUGGAGGCUAACGUUACCGGCCGGUGAGCGCGUGUCUGCUCCUAAACGUAAUAUUAUUAACGUAUGUUAAAAUGUGAAAAAAUGUCCUGGCUGUAAGUAUCAAUCCGCGUCAACAAAAAACGGCAUCUCAUUCAAAUAAAAUAAUUUCUACAAGCUUUUUGAGCUCACUUAUCGCUAGCUGGGCGUGCUAAUGCUUCAUUUCCGCAUUGAUGUUGGUCCGUCUGUUCAUGUUGAGGCUUGAUAAGUUGAUUUGAAAGCUGCAAGAUCAGUGAUCAAAGCACGUUUGCGAAAAUGAUCGAGGAGCGUAUUUGUACGCAUUUUAUCAAUUUUAAUUGACGUUUGCGUUCAUUUAAAGGCCUUAAAACCUGUUAAAGAGACAGCCACAGUCCGAAACUUGGUUCACCUUUUUGGUAAAUUUAGACCUACCCUGCUAAUAAUCCAUCAUAACUACGCGAGAGCAUUGAAAAUAUUACUCUUGCUACAUUAUUUUAUUAUCCUAAAAAAUUCGGCUCAUCAAAAAGACACCCACAUUUUCAAUUUAUUCGUUUUAUCAUAGUAGUACUGGGUCCUAAGUGGAAAAAUCGAACAACUUGCGGUAAUGGAAUUAAAGGUCUAGUAAGUAAUGUGCUGGAUUUUUAACUGUUAUAUCUUUAUUGGCUAUAAAGUAAAAUUAAACCAUAAUUUGCUAGAGUUUUUGUACUGUUAAUGCCUGAAUCUGCAAACACUGGGUAUGUGACAGAUGAAUUGAUUAUUGAUUUGUCUACAUUUUUACUAGCAGUUGGACAUUUGACUGUUUAAAGAAAUGCCAAAACAAGGCUUUUUAUUGGAAAACACAGGACAUAGUCAGAGAUAAAAGAAUCAACAUAAACAUCAAGUUCCUAGUGGGAGCUUUAAGUUAACCUUGUUUUUUUUUCUUUCUUUUUUUGCAACACUGGGGUUGGGGUGGGGGACGUUAGUUUUAAUGACCUGAUGUGAAGUGAAGAUUUCAAGAGAAGUGAAAUUAACUUAUUAUGUGUAAACAGAGAAAAUGUACUGAAAUGGGGCUUCCAUUCUGGUACCCAGAAAAAUGUUACUAAAGUAGGAUCUGCACGUCAGAACAUUAAAUUGAGAUCAUUUUAAAUGGAGGUUGGUGUGGUGUUCUCUCUCUGCAAAAGGAGUACAUUCAUCAGUAAUAAUUCAUGCCAUCUGAGCAUACUUUCUUUAUACUUUGUGAUAACAUAUGUCUCUUUUUCUUCCCCACUUUAUAGGAACAAUGAAUGUGGAACACGAAGUGAAAUUACUGGUGCAGGAGAUCCAGCGACUCGGCUCCAAAAGUGAGUUCAUUCUUUCUGAAUCACUCAUCCAAUGCUGUACACUAUAAUAAAACAUGGCCAUGCCAUCACAAUCUUGAUCAUUAGUUCCAGCUUAUUGCCAGGGCUGCUGUAACACAGUGGUGGAGUUGGUUCCCUGCUCCCACAGUCCUUGUACUUGAGUGUCUUUGGGCAUGUUGCUGAACCUGAAAUUGCUCCAAGCGGCAGAACCAGCAGUGUGUGAAAGCCAGAAUUACAAGGAGGUUUAAAAAAACAAAAACCCUGAUACCUGUAAUAUUGUAGGCCAAAAAUGCUGGUCAUUUGUUGCGUCAAAGCAGUUGUCCACCACCAGUGGACACUAGGGUUGUCAUGAUACUAAAAUUUUAAACUCAACAUCGAUACCCAGGAAAAUACUUGAAGGCCAGGGUGCGGGUCCUUGAGGUAUUUUACCAAAUGCGUCGUGCGACUCGACUUUGUCGCCACCACUUUGAAAUACUGGCUAUACUUGGCAGCAGUAAAACGCGGGACAGCAAGUGGGGGGUUCUCCCGACUGCUGGGCGCUGAAUGCCGGGUCAGCUGCGCUGCUUGCAGAAUGCUCGAAGUGGUCACUGCGAACAUGCACACCAUGGUAUCGAUAUUAUGGCAAAUUAGUAUCGUAUCCGGAUACGGCAUGUAAGAAUCGAUACUCUUCAAAGUAUCAAUAUUUUUAACAACCCUAGUGGGCACUGUGGCACUGGUCAUGGGCAACUGCCAUUAUACUAUAAUACUCUAUAAUACUAUUAUAAUAAUAAUAUUAUCUGAAUGCAAACAAGCACAGAUUGCCGAUAGUGAGGUUUUUUUUGUUUGUUUGUUUUUUUAACAUUAAUGCAAUAGACUGAAAUUUGAAUUGAUGCUAUGGCGUCAAUUCAGUGCCAAAAAUCCGCGCGCAUAAAAAAACAUAUCAGCGCGCCCAAAAACACCUACCCGCGCACUUGCCGUCACUGUCUGCACGCUCGCAGUGUCUGUACACACACGCACUGUCUCUCUCAGGGCUCUCUGCGCGCUCAACUCGGUUAGAUAGAUAGAUUGAUUGAUAGAUAGAUAUUCGUUGCUAAUUGGUCAUUUUAAGUGCUCACUGACAGAUUCAAUCCGAGGCAUAAGAUAAAUCCCCACCGAGGCACUCUUACCUCUUGCACAUUUUUUGUCUAUCGCUAAUUCCGUCAUUGGAGUUAGUGACGAAUCACACGCCUCGAAAUUAGCCGGCUCUAAACUAUUUUUUUCAGCUGCUGUGGCACAAGACAAGUUAAAAAUCGCACCACACACACACACACACACACACACACAUUGCUAUUAUAACACGAAUUGUGUGGCAAUCAUCUUAAGAGGAGGCAAAAUGAAUCAAAUUAACGGUACACAAAGUUCGUUAUUAAGCUGGUGAAAUGAUGAAAAUAGGUUAGAUUGUCGUGCCUUCUUUAGAAAGCUUAAGUCUUCUGUAACAUUUAUGAUGUCCUCGUUGUCAUUGUGAUUUUGCACAUAAUAUUAUUACUGAUUUCCAGCAUCUGAGGUCUGAGUUGCUUUUUUUCACCUCAACUUUAUUCAGCACCUGUCAAUCCUCUGACAAAAUUGAUGAGCAUAACGUCACAAAAAUUAGCCACAUACACUACAUCUCUUUUUUUCCCCUUCAAAACUUUAUUAAGAAUUGCGCACAAAAAAGAUUAUUGCAACUGUUUGCUAGCAAACAACGAAUAUCUAUCUAUCUAUCUAUCUAUCUAUAUAUCUAUCUAUCCAUCCACCAAUCCUACUUUGCCUCCGAUUGGCCUUGACCUGGCGUCAAUCGGUUCUAAGUGACCAAUCAGAGUGGAGGGGAGGUGCAGAGUGGCCUGCCCCCGGAGUGCCAAAAUUCAACUGAGUCAAGCGCGCAGAGGGCUCUGAGAGAGACAGCGCGCUUGUGUACAGACAGUGCAAGCACGCAGACAGUGACCGUGAGCACGCGGGUAGUGACGGCGAGCGCGCAGACAGUGACCGCGAGCGCGGAGGUAGGUGUUUUUAUGCGCGUGUGUGUUUUUUAUGCACGCGGAUUUUUGGCAGCGAAUUGAAGCCAUAUGAUGCCCUCUAGAUAUAACAAGAUUAGCUGGGACAACUGUUAAUUCUUAUGUAGCAGUUUUUGAUAACUGAAAAUUAUGUGAGGGGAUAGGUGUCAGCCAAUUAACUUAUAAAAAAAACAAAACUUGUUUUGCUCUGUCCACAGAGGGCGCCAAAAUUGACCCAAACUGAAAGUUUCUUUUCGGACCUUUUAAAUAGUAAAACCUGUAUAUUUCCCUAAAUCAGUGUUUAUCAGCAUGCCUCUCUCAUUUCAGAUGCUGAUGGUCAAACUUCUGUGAAGUUUGGGGUCUUGUUUAAUGACGACCAGUGUGCCAACAUCUUUGAGGCGUUGGUGGGGACCCUGAAGGCGGCGAAGAGAAAGAAGAUGAUUGACUUCAAGGGCGAGCUGCUCCUCCAGGGUGUCCAUGAUAAUGUCGAUAUCAUCCUGCUCCAAGAAUGAGGAGCUUCUGCAGUGUUCCCGCUUAUCACUGAGCUUUUGUUUCCAGUUAAUUUCUUCAUGUGCAAGGCUCAGUAUUUCAAUUCAAACAUAAUGAUCUAUUAAGUCCAACUGUGCAUUUACCGACCAAGCUGGCUUUCCUAGAUUUAAUUUCUCUGUACCAAACAGGAUCACACCAAGUUAUUUCAGGAUAAAUUUAGUUUUCCAUUGGCUGAAUAACACCUACAUUCAAAGAAAAGUUCACUCUUUCUCAGGCACUGCUUUUUUACCAACCACAGGUCUGACAUGCCUUUUGAUAUACUUUUAAGACUAUAAACGCACACAUCAGGAUUGUAAUUACAUGUCUAACACAACUAUCUGGGAGUCUUAUCAUUUCAGAGAUAUAAAAGCCUGUCUUGAUUGUUUUGUGUCAGGAAAAACAGACAUAGUUACUGAUAUAGAUUAGAUUUAGCAGCUUCUGCACACCUUCAAUCUGAUCCUGAUAAUUUAUCGGAAGUGGGCACUUGUGUCUAAAGCAGCACUGGGCAAAUGUCUGUGUAGCUUUAAAUGAAAAGGUAGUGUGUGUCCACCCAUCAUGUCACCAAAUGGCAGUCCUAUAUAAUGUUUACACAAGCCGUUGAUACUACCUCUUGUGAGUUUUGUAAAAGGCAUUUUAAGAGCAGUGCUUUGGGAAACCUAACAACAAUCCCUUGAAAGAAACAACGUAAACAAAGUGCAUUUCAAGAAAGAUUUUUGCACCUUUUUGUACUUUACAAACUACUGCAGUAGUUUUUAUUCCAUCUUUUUUUACAGUGAGUCAAUAAUGAUUUUUUUCUCGGUUUAAAAAAAAAAAUCUCCAAAUUGACUUGCCUUUUGUAAGAAACAGUUGGUGAGCGGAUGGCGAAUGUAUUUCUUGUGCAAUUGAUAUUACUGUAUAAUAACAGGGUAAUUGGUGCCAAAUGCAAAAGAUGAAUUUGUAAUAUCUCUCAGGACCAAAAUCAACCAAAAUAUUUUUAAUAACUGUCCUGUGGCUAAAAUAAGGAGUCUUAUUUGUGACACAAGAUGUGCAUUUAUAGUUUUAUUAGUUUGUUGUUUUUCAGUCUUUGUUAUGUACUGUAGGUCUGAUAACACUUGCAGACCAUGGGUGGAUAUUUCCUUUACUUUGCAGGUAUCAAAGGUCAUAAUAUACGGGUGGUUUAUCAUGUCUAGGUAAAAAAAAAGUUAGUUUUUGACAUUACUUGGAUGUUAAAAUAGCAUUGAUUUAAAAAUUGGCCUCCAACAAAGCUUGGAGUGGGGUUUGUAUGGAAGUUAAAGGUGUUUAAAACUACACAGUAUCAAAGUGAUAAAUGAUGAAAAAAAUAAUUUGAUAAAUUCAGUGAAAUUAUGACACAGCACAACAGUGUGAAGUAUCUUCUUUAACUUUGGAUCUCAAUUUUUACAAAAUAGUUUUACAAUAGUGAUAACAAAUGUUUUCAUUAUCAAAAUCUCUUUAUUUUCAAGGGUUUUUUCCCAAGUAACUAUUUUAUUCAAAAAUGGGAGGGAUCAUCAGUUUGAAAAAACAUAGUUGGUUUAAAAAUGGUUAAUACAAAAAGUUCAUUUUACAACAGCAUAGAAUUACCACCAAUUAUUGUUAAUAUGAAAAGAAGCCAAGUUAGUAGGACAGUGGGUCGUUAAAUGUUUGGCCACUUCGGCGUUCCAUAAAUCUAACUGCAGUCCACUGAAUGUCAGACGAAUCAUGUAAACCAGGAAGAGCGGCAAUCAUUUUACUUCUCUUCCUUGGCAACUGUUUGGGACAUUUUCAUAGUUAAAAUACUAUUACCAUGCUUGAUCUGCAAGUUUUAUAAGACCAAUUUCACAUUCACUGCUGUUUUUUAACCUAGCUAAAACUGGUGGAUUCCGGUGUUUGUUUCAGCUUGACUUGUUUUUUUUGUUUGUUUGUUUUUUAUCACAGAGGGGACCAUUCACUUGUUUUGUGGUUGUAAAGAUAGAUCAAUUGUUUGUUAAAAUCAAGGAAAUUAAAUUGUGAAUACAACUAAACUGUGGCCUAAGAAGUCAAAAGGCUAAAUAGAAGUCCAAAAGUUAUAAGUAUCAGAGAGAAAAGCAAUGAGCGAAGAAGAAAACAUGCUGCUUUCAUCACUGUCAUUUUGUAUUAUCCUGCUGUCAUAGCUCCAGAGCGAAUCUCAGUUGGCCUCCAUGAACAUAAAUGCAAACAGUACAAGUCACACGUUUGCAAGAGGAGAAAGUUCUGAUCGGAGCAGUGCCAAUACCUCGAGCCAUUUCUGUGACCAAGUGGAAUGCCUGCAUGAUGAGUUCAAGUGCGUCAUUACUGUCUUUUAUACUGGCAAUAAAACAGAACAGAGAUUUCUGUUAUACUCUGAGAAAUAAAACCUUUACACCUGAAGCCUUGAA
Molecule: long non-coding RNA, 6435 nt
Filed under: Xyrichtys novacula (pearly razorfish)
Lineage: Eukaryota; Metazoa; Chordata; Actinopteri; Labriformes; Labridae
Source: RNAcentral